AUCUAGCUGAGGAGUCCCAAAUAGGAUGAAGCGUGCAUCAAACUGGAU
Molecule: non-coding RNA, 48 nt
Filed under: Schistosoma margrebowiei
Lineage: Eukaryota; Metazoa; Platyhelminthes; Trematoda; Strigeidida; Schistosomatidae
Source: RNAcentral